GCCCCAGCUCUGUUUGAGGUGCCCCUCUUACGAGGAGCAGCUCCACCCAACCUCCCCUCCUCUUCCCAGAGCUCCUGCGACUCCAGCUCACUGUGCGGGGCUGGGGCACUGCAGCCAGAUCUCAUCCCCACAGCCCUCUUCUGUCCUGGAUCCUCUCAGACACGCCCUGGUGUUUCAAAGGUAUGAGCGGAGGAAGACAAGGAAGUGAAAGAAGAGAGUUUCAGAAAGAACACCACGGUCCGAGAUGACAAACGAGGUAGGCGAGUGGCUGCCGUGCCCACCGCAUUCCAGGCUCAAACAGGACGUAAGGGGUAGGAAAGCCACACGGAAGACCUUCUGGGCCCUGCAUCCCACCUUGCCCCACACACUAAGUGAAUAAAAACAACGCAGUGGCAGCUGUACAGGGGACAAAGAAGAAAAUAGGGGGAUAAGAUGACCAAGAUGUUGCCUUUGAUAGCCAGCAGCUAUCUAUAAUUGAUCCUAAAUCACGGUGGCGUGUCAAGUUCUGGAGGCUGGUGCCUACCCUCUUCUAACCCUUACAACAGCCCCAGGGGAGAGAGACGAUAGUCUCCUCAGAGCUGAGAAACUGACCCACAGAGAAGUUAAGUGAUGGCCCAAGGUGACGCACGGUGUGUCGCUCAGGUGCAGUUCUCUGAGCGCGGGUAUCGGAUGUAGAUUGGUUUGUACCUUUACUCUCACAUCUGGCUCAGCCGGGCACAGCAGGUGCAUGACACGUGAUGAAGCCAUCUGGAGCCAAGACCCCAGGGUCGGUUCCCCCGCGCUGUGUCCCGCUCACCCGCGGAAUUCUCACGUCCAACCUUCAGGGCAGUCACAGCGCUGAGACUCCGACUCGACUCCCGGACCUGGUCCUCGGCCCGCCUGCCCGCUCCCAGGUCCGGCUCCCCCUGUGGGUCCCUGCUCCUGGUCCCUUCCUGCUGACCAAAAGGUGUUCAGUACAACAGAAGGCUCUGUGCUUGUUUUCCUGAGACCUGUUAUUAACCUAAGCUCUUAAAACGGCAGCAGCAUACACUCAANUGAGGGGAGAAGCGCAGGUGCGGCUGAAGGCGCGCAGGCGGGAGCACAGGCGGGCAGGUGCCCCAGGAGCCAGCGGGGGACCCCCUGCUGCGCUGGCAGAAGCAGGCCAGGCAGAUUGAGGCAGCCUUCAGAGCCGCUCAGAGACCCG
This 1183-nucleotide long non-coding RNA is filed under the name Sus scrofa (pig). Its description in RNAcentral is "lncRNA (ENSSSCG00015008754.1)". Lineage: Eukaryota; Metazoa; Chordata; Mammalia; Artiodactyla; Suidae. The record is from RNAcentral.